RNAcentral lists this unclassified non-coding RNA (309 nucleotides) under plant metagenome. RNAcentral describes it as "partial contains 5.8S ribosomal RNA, internal transcribed spacer 2, and large subunit ribosomal RNA". The stretch from base 1 to 105 matches the Rfam family "5.8S ribosomal RNA", at positions 50 to 154 of the family's 154-position model. The record is from RNAcentral.
GAAAUGCGAUAAGUAAUGUGAAUUGCAGAAUUCAGUGAAUCAUCGAAUCUUUGAACGCACAUUGCGCCCGCCAGUAUUCUGGCGGGCAUGCCUGUUCGAGCGUCAUUUCAACCAUCAAGCCCCCGGGCUUGUGUUGGGGACAUGCGGCUGCCGCAGGCCCCGAAAACCAGUGGCGGGCUCGCUGUCACACCGGGCGUAGUAGAUUUUUCGUCUCGCCCAGGGCGUGCUGCGGGUUCCGGCCGUUAAAAAGCCUCUCUUUUAACCCAAGGUUGACCUCGGAUCAGGUAGGAAGACCCGCUGAACUUAAGC